RNAcentral lists this ribosomal RNA (515 nucleotides) under uncultured Glomus. RNAcentral describes it as "SSU rRNA". It matches the Rfam family "Eukaryotic small subunit ribosomal RNA", at positions 579 to 1099 of the family's 1831-position model. The record is from RNAcentral. Lineage: Eukaryota; Fungi; Glomeromycota; Glomeromycetes; Glomerales; Glomeraceae.
GUAUUCCGCUCCAUAGCGUAUAUUAAAGUUGCUGCAGUUAAAAAGCUCGUAGUUGAAUUUCGGAACCAAUAUGUUGGUUGUGCCUCGGUACGUACUGGCAUUGUUGGUUUCUCCCUUCUGACGAACUAUGAUGUCAUUAAUUUGGUGUCAUGGGGAAUCAGGACUGUUACUUUGAAAAAAUUAGAGUGUUUAAAGCAGGCUCACGCUUGAAUACAUUAGCAUGGAAUAAUGAAAUAGGACGUUUGAUUCUAUUUUGUUGGUUUCUAGGAUUGACGUAAUGAUUAAUAGGGAUAGUUGGGGGCAUUAGUAUUCAAUUGUCAGAGAUGAAAUUCUUGGAUUUAUUGAAGACUAACUACUGCGAAAGCAUUUGCCAAGGAUGUUUUCAUUAAUCAAGAACGAAAGUUAGGGGAUCGAAGACGAUCAGAUACCGUCGUAGUCUUAACCAUAAACUAUGCCGACUAGGGAUCGGAUGAUGUUAAUUUUUUAAUGACUCAUUCGGCGCCUUACGGGAAACA